This 1325-nucleotide ribosomal RNA is filed under the name metagenome. RNAcentral's name for it is "bacterial LSU rRNA". It matches the Rfam family "Bacterial large subunit ribosomal RNA", at positions 1561 to 2925 of the family's 2925-position model. The record is from RNAcentral.
AGUGGAUGGGGAGCAACCUAGUUGUGCGUGUGUAAAGGUAGUGCCAAGAAAAGCGAUGAUCAUGUUGAAAAUCAAUUCCCGGUACCCGAAACCGACACAGGUGGGCAAGUAGAGAAUACUAAGGGGCGCGAGGUAACUCUCUCCAAGGAACUCGGCAAAAUGACCCCGUAACUUAGGGAGAAGGGGUGCCACCGAGAGGUGGUCGCAGUGAAGAGGCCCAGGCGACUGUUUAGCAAAAACAUAGGUCUCUGCAAACUCGAAAGAGGAGGUAUAGGGGCUGACGCCUGCCCAGUGCCGGAAGGUUAAAGAAGUUGGUCAGUCUUAGGAUGAAGCUAGCGACUGAAGCCCCGGUGAACGGCGGCCGUAACUAUAACGGUCCUAAGGUAGCGAAAUUCCUUGUCGGGUAAGUUCCGACCCGCACGAAAGGCGUAACGAUCUGGGCGCUGUCUCGGAGAGAGGCUCGGCGAAAUAGGAUUGUCUGUGAAGAUACGGACUACCUGCAUUUGGACAGAAAGACCCUAUGAAGCUUUACUAUAGCUUGGAAUUGUGUUCGGGCUUCCUGUGCGCAGGAUAGGUGGGAGGCGUAGAAGGUAUUCUUGUGGGGAUACUGGAGCCAACGGUGAGAUACCACUCUCAGGAGGCUAGAAUUCUAACUUAAUUAAGGACAGUUUCAGGUGGGUAGUUUGACUGGGGCGGUCGCCUCCAAAAAGGUAACGGAGGCGUACAAAGGUUCCCUCAGACUGGUUGGAAAUCAGUCGAAGAGUGCAAAGGCAGAAGGGAGCUUGACUGCGAGAAGUACAGUUCGAGCAGGGUGGAAACACGGUCUUAGUGAUCCGACGGUGCUGUGUGGAAGGGCCGUCGUUCAACGGAUAAAAGUUACUCUAGGAUAACAGGCUGAUCUCCCCCAAGAGUUCACAUCGGCGGGGAGGUUUGGCACCUCGAUGUCGGCUCAUCGCAACCUGGGGCGGAAGUACGUCCCAAGGGUUGGGCUGUUCGCCCAUUAAAGCGGUACGUGAGCUGGGUUCAGAACGUCGUGAGACAGUUCGGUCCAUAUCCGAUGUAGGCGUGAGAAUAUUGAGAGGAGCCUUCCUUAGUACGAGAGGACCGGGAAGGACGCACCGCUGGUGUACCUGUUAUGAUGCCAAUUGUAAACGCAGGGUAGCCAAGUGCGGAGAGGAUAACCGCUGAAAGCAUCUAAGUGGGAAGCCCACCUCAAGAUGAGUAUUCUGGUGUAAGGUCACGGGAAGACGACCCGUAAAUAGGCACGAGGUGGAAGUGCAGAGAUGUAUGAAGCCGAAGUGUACUAAUAGACCGUCGGCUUGACC